UUCGAAACAUCUGCGCUUCGGGAUCUCGCAAAGCUUCGGAACGUCUGUUUCGCGUCAGCCAUCCCUAGAAAAUAUACAAUAUAAUCAUAUAACGUGUAACAGUUAGUUUGAUCUGUUUCUUUGACAGCACAAUGCGACUGUAUUCGUGUCCAUCAUAAAACGUUAUACACUAUAAGCAUGCAUUAUGUAGUUUCAAAACGAAUAAUGUGUUUUAAAAAUGACUGAAUCUAAUAGUUGCCAUAUUCUGCAAUUUAGAGAGAAGAGCAACGCCUCUGUGAUGCACAAGCCUUUGAUACCCUGGUAGGUUUUACAUUUCUGGAAGUAUAGCAUAAUACAAUUCAGUGCACUCAUACAGUGUUAGGUUCCUCUGGGGAGUACCAGUCAGCUUUAUCAUAGAUUUAUUCCAACAGAUGCUACAGAUUUCAAGAAUUGGAGGAAAGAACUCCAAGGACUGUGUCCACAAAUUCCUUAACAGGCAUGUUUCUACAUACAGUUUGGAUUGUGUGUGUGAUGUUAUGGUGGAUUUCAAUGCCUGAACAUUUUUUUUUUUUUCUGGGUGUGGACCAGACUGCAUGUGUUAAUUUGUCUUUUUCUUGCUUAACCCUUAUGUACCUCUUGGUACAUUUAUUUAUUUAUUUUAUUUUUUUUGCAUUUUUCAAUUAAGAAUACUCAAUUACAAGAUCACAACAACACAAUGCAUUGUGAGUUUAUAGACAAGCAGUUCUUGACAAGGAGAUUUGUUGUAGAGGGAUAAAAGGAGGGGAGUUAGUAUAAAGGGUUUAUGAAAUGUGUAAUGUUAUAUCUACAUGUAUCAUUUACACUGAUUUAUAAAUAUAAUUUAUUUUUCUUUAGGCUCUUCAUUUAUGCCCUGAUGGCACAAUUCAAUAUGAAGGGGAAGGGGAAAAAGGGCAAGAACUCUUUGGAGAAGACACAGGUUUAUAGAGCAAUAAAAGGUGCAGUCAUGAAAUUUGAUGACAUAGCCACAGAGGACUUCAUAAGGAUGACCGCUUCAGAGCAUCUGAAGCAUGCACCGCAAAGAAGUGGAGGUGGAGGAGACACAGGGGUCACUCAGGACUGAUUAUCCAUUGGAGAAUGUUUUGUACAUUGUCUUUCCUGUUUUAGUAUAGUUGCUUAUGGUUUAAUUUUACCACAAAACACAUUUGGUUACGCACUUUAAUUUUUAUUGUUGUACAUUUGUUGUUGUGGUGGGCUGUGUAACUUUAAUUUUUUUAUUUUUUGUAUUUUACCACCAGUGUUUUUAGGUUACAUAUGUUUUUAGGUUACGAUGCACAACAUUGAAGUGAUAUAUGCAAGCCAUAAAUUCAUGUUCCUAGAUUUUAAUGGUAGUUGGCAGGAAAUUUAACUAGUCAAAGCUUAUAAGUGAAGUUUGUGCAAGUUAAAAACAAUAAAGAUGGAAAUAAGUGAAUGGUGAUUGAGUUG
Cyprinus carpio (common carp) is the source of this 1440-nucleotide long non-coding RNA. Lineage: Eukaryota; Metazoa; Chordata; Actinopteri; Cypriniformes; Cyprinidae. The record is from Ensembl.